Molecule: unclassified non-coding RNA, 4004 nt
Filed under: Orussus abietinus
Lineage: Eukaryota; Metazoa; Arthropoda; Insecta; Hymenoptera; Orussidae
Description: piggyBac transposable element-derived protein 4, transcript variant X4
Source: RNAcentral
UGGGAAAUCAAAGUGAAAAGUACCCCUCGCCGUUGUCCUCACGUUUAUAAUUUGUAGAAAUCAAUGUAGUUGGUAAUCUUAAAAUUGAUUUGAUAAUUUUACCAGUGGUUCUGGGAAGCUAUUCGAAGAUAAAUUCAUGGAGUCGAUAACAUUGGAAUUACGGCCACUUCUUUGCUCCUGCAACAUGUUUAUAAAGCUGUAUCAAUGUACAGAUGUUGAUUCCAUUCAAAUAAAACUGUCUGCCAACAAUGUUAUGAUAACAAUUGGAACUAGAAGGUUUAAUGUGCAUUUGACAACAAUGAAAAUUGUACCAAAUACUUUAUCAAUGUUAAAAAUUAGUACAGCGUGGAUAUCAUUUCGGGUUCAAACAGAACCUAUCGAUGUAAUGUAUGGAUCUUUUGGAACAGAAAUAAUACAUUUAGCCAAUGCAAGCACUCCUCUUAUAGAUAAUAUAGCUAAUGUAGAGUUACCUCCAAAUAAUUCUAUGCUUACUUUAUUCUGUCACCAUUGUCAGAAUAAAAUUUCGAAUCAGGUCUUUCUGAAGAGAGUAUUACCCAUUCCCUCAGAUGAAUGCAAUCCAGAUGAAUGGUUUUGUUGCACGCAUGGUGAAAAUAAUUAUUUAUCAUUACUAACUCCGAACAAAUCGGACUACUUUUAUGGUUCUUAUUACUGUGUUUUAAAUUCCAAUAAUAUAUCAUCCAAUGUAAAGUUAGAUAAUAAGACUGUAAUUUGCAGCAGAUGCUACAAUAGUUUAGGCUAUAUACAUGAUUCCAAUUCAAUUAAAUUUUGGAAUUGUUGCAUUGAACAGGAGAUGACAACCGAGUCAUUAUUAUUAUUAAGGAAAAUAACAGAUCCCUUUAACGAUUUUAUACUAGCCGUUAGAACUUCAAUCACUGCCUCCAUAGGCGAAGAGUUGCUUUUAUAUGCAGUUCAUGGUAAUUAUAUAAGUUUUUUGCUGUUAAAACUCAUGGAACGGCAAUUAAAUUUGUUUCGAGAAUCAAAACUAAUUUCUAAGAAAGAAAUUCAUCUAGAACGAGCUUGUGUUGCUAAGGUCUUAUACAAGUAUGGACUAAAUAAAACAUUACCAAUACAACAUUCAGAAGUGAAGCAAUGUUUAGUUACUUUCUCUAUGAUUUUGGCCGCCACACAGCAUCUCUUAUCAUCAAGUAAACGUAUUCCAUUAUCCUAUCGUUUAACAGAAACCUAUUAUAUUGGAUAUAUGGAAGUGUAAAAAUAUGUAUAAAAGUAGCAAGGAAAAAAGAGUCAACUUAGUAGGGAUAUAUUGCCAUAAAAAAGGACAGACUUAAGAUACCAGUUUGUACAUACUUUGUAGUAUUAUUAUUUAUCUUAAAUAAGCUAUUUUUAUAUCAUUUUUAUGCUAGUAAUACAUAUGUACAGACUCAAUUAAAAAGAUUUUCAUUCAAACGGUAUUACGUGGUUACUUAUUGCACUAUACAGAGCUAUAUUAUAUUAUCUUCUUGUUAACACAUUCGCGACCGGUGACGUGAAUUCACGUUUUUCAAGUUCUAUUUCUGGUCGCCGCUGACGUGAAUUCACGUCAUUUUAAAUUCUAUUCCUGAUUGCCGCUGACGUGAAUCCCGUCCUGCUUAGUUGGCUCACUAAUUUUUAGCCGGCGCGGCGCUUGCGGCAAAUCGCCUCAGUUAUGAUUUGAAAUACACUAAAAGGACGCAGCCAUUGAGCAACUCAGCCAAAUAAGCCGUAAUAUUGUUGACCUCACUUGUCUCAGUUGCAAGUUUGGAUUUUGGGAGCGAAUGAAAAGAAAGUGCUUUCAUACCGGAUUUGCUAGUUUUAUCAGAUAUAUCUGUCCCAUAUACAUAAUAAUCUGAAAAAAAUUUACCGUUAUAAUGGAAAAUGAAGAAAUAUGUGCUGACGAGAUUUCCGAGAUUGAAUCCACAGAACUUCAUAGCGAUAGCGAGACGGACAGCGACACAGUAACGCAAUUUAUGCAGAGGCAUACAACUCAGAUAAUAUAUGACAGCGAAUCCAGCGACAGUGACUACCAAACAGAUAAUCAGUGGACAAAAUAUGAUCCAAAGAGAAACGUAGAAAUGUUUACCGGCAUUUCGGGUGUCAAGCUACAUCCAAAUAACCCUCAAAGUAUAAGUGAAAUUGUCGAACUAGUUAUUGAAGAUGAUUUUAUAGAAAUGGUCGCAAUUGAAACUAACAGAUAUUACGAUCAGAUGCACCGCAGAUAUAAAUGUGGAAGGAAAACAAAAGAGUGGUACGAUACUACAGUUCCCGAGAUGAAAAAAUUUUUCGCAUUAAUUAUUUUGAUGGGACAAGUACAGAAAACUACGAUACAUGAUUAUUGGUCAACACGUCCGUCAAUCGAGACACCUUUCUUUUCAAAAAUAAUGACGAGGCAUAGAUUUCUUCAAAUUUUGCGCUUCCUGCACUUUUCCAAUAAUACGGAAAUGGCGUCAAAUCCAAGCAGGUUGUGUAAAAUUCAACCGGUAAUAAAUUAUCUCUUAAAUAAAUUUAGCACCGUAUAUAAGCCCGAACAGGAGCUUUCUUUAGAUGAAGUUAUGAUACCAUAUCGUGGAAGAUUGUCUUUUAGCGUUUAUAAUCCGAGCAAAAUAACAAAGUACGGAAUACUAGUCAGAAUGUUGUCUGAGGCAAGUACUGGAUACCUCUGUAACUUUCAGCUGUAUUGUGGAAGAGGAGACCCUUUGGAAAAAACUAUUUCACAUCUUUUAAAUAAAAGCGAAAACUUAUGGCACCAUGUAUACAUGGACAAUUAUUAUAAUAGUAUUACAUUAGCUGAAAGCUUACUGACGAAGAAAAUUCGUAUUUGCGGUACUAUACGUAAGAAUAGGGGGUUUCCAAAGGAUCUAAAUGAUCUCAGAUUAAGAAUAGGUGAAUUUGAUUUUCGGCGUAAAGGUGAGGUACUAGUUCUCAAAUGGAAAGAUAAGCAAGAUGUUCGAAUGAUAUCUACCAUACACAAUGCCGAUGUCGUUGAGACUGGGAAAAUAAAUCAAAAAACUGGACAGCAAGUUCGUAAGCCUGAAUGCAUUAUGAAAUACAAUCAACAUAUGAAAGGCGUUCAUCAAGCUGAUCAGUAUCUUUCAUACUAUUCAUUUUUGCGAAAAUCAAUCAAAUGGACAAAAAAAGUUUUCAUGUUUCUUUUACACUGUACUUUCUUCAAUUCUUUUAUUCUGUAUCGUAAGCUUAAUCCACAUACCAAUAUAACUUUUUCCAAGUUCUUACAAACUCUGGCUGAAGAAUGGAUUUCCUCUGCUACUGAACAUCAUGAUACAGAAAAUUUACCAAGCAGUUCAACAGCUUUGGGCCGAGCACCUCACUUUGACCCCCCUUACAGACUUUCAGGAGACAUGAAAACACACCAAUUGGAAAGAAUUGCACAAACGGGGAAAUUAAAAUACCCACAAAAGCGUUGUAGAGUCUGCAAAACUCGUGGAAUACGUCGUGACACUUCUUAUAUAUGCAAAUUAUGUAAAAUUCCUCUAUGCAAAAAUCAUUGUUUUUCGAUUUAUCAUACUAGCCAGAAAUAUUAAAUUUUGUUUUUGCUCGACUUAUCCAAAAUACCUGUAAUAUGAUGCUAAAUAAAUUCAGCACAAUGAUAUCAAGUGGUCCAUUGUCUACUUAUAAAGCAAGUAUACAAAUUAUAAAAAUCUUUUUAUUUUAAAUAACACAUAAAUGCAACAUUGAUAUUUCAAAACAAAUUUUAUCAUUUUUAUCCUUGCUUUAACGAUACAAGUUUGCGGCAACCAGUUUCAGAAUUUCAUUAUUUUCGCCGGUACUCAGUACUUGAAACAGAACAACUUUGCCGGUCGCGAAUGUGUUAAUAUUAUACAUUGUGAGUCAAUAAUGUUGAAUUUAUAUUUAACCUUAAGGCUUGUAUUUAUAUUCCUAUUUCUUUUCUCCCUUUAUUAAUUCCAUGUAACGUAAGUGAAUUAGCUUAAUACUUUAAAGUUUGUUAAAAUAGUAGUUAAAUAAAUCUAAUCAUUAGACUAUGUAUCAAA